UACGUAGGUGACUAGCGUUGUCCGGAUUUACUGGGCGUAAAGAGCGCGCAGGCGGUCGUUCAAGUCGCGUGUGAAAGCCCCCGGCUCAACUGGGGAGGGUCACGCGAUACUGAUCGACUCGAAGGCAGGAGAGGGUAGUGGAAUUCCCGGUGUAGUGGUGAAAUGCGUAGAUAUCGGGAGGAACACCAGUGGCGAAGGCGACUACCUGGCCUGUUCUUGACGCUGAGGCGCGAAAGCUAGGGGAGCAAACGGG
This 253-nucleotide ribosomal RNA is filed under the name uncultured bacterium. RNAcentral describes it as "partial 16S ribosomal RNA". It matches the Rfam family "Bacterial small subunit ribosomal RNA", at positions 524 to 776 of the family's 1533-position model. The record is from RNAcentral.